GGGCCAUAGCUCAGUUGGGAGAGCGCCUGCUUUGCAAGCAGGAGGUCGUCGGUUCGAUCCCGUCUGGCUCC
RNAcentral lists this transfer RNA (71 nucleotides) under Rhodobium orientis. It matches the Rfam family "tRNA". Rfam says of the family: Transfer RNA (tRNA) molecules are approximately 80 nucleotides in length. Their secondary structure includes four short double-helical elements and three loops (D, anti-codon, and T loops). RNAcentral also lists the same sequence under 2 other names. Lineage: Bacteria; Pseudomonadati; Pseudomonadota; Alphaproteobacteria; Hyphomicrobiales; Rhodobiaceae. The record is from RNAcentral.